AUUAAAAGUUUUUUAAUAUUUUCGAGAAACAGCUUAAAAUAAUACCGUACCGUAAACCGACACAGGUGAACAAAUUUAGUAAAUUAAGGUGCUUGAGUUAAUUGUACCAAAGGAACUCGGCAAAAUGACUCCGUAACUUCGGGAUAAGGAGUAGCUUUUCUAGGUUAAACCCUUAAAAAGCUGGCACAAAAUCGAGGACAGCGACUGUUUAAUAAAAACACAGGUCUCUGCGAAUUUGAAAAAAGAAGUAUAGAGACUGACGCCUGCCCGGUGCUGCAAGAUUAAGAGAAAAAGUUUUGGCUUUGACUUUAACUCCCAGUAAACGGCGGCUGUAACUCUGACGGUCCAAAGGUAGCGAAAUUCCUUGGCAUUUAAUUGGUGUCCUGCAUGAAUGGCGUAACGACUGUCCUACUGUCUCUGGUACAAUCUCAGUGAAAUUGAAAUGUCUGUGAAGAUGCAGACUACUUGCGGCUAGACGGAAAGACCCUGUGCACCUUUACUAUAGUUAUGAAUUGUAAUAAAUUUUUUUUUGUGUAGAAUAUGUGGUAAGUUUUUAUUAGACCGUAACGUAAGUUAUCUGUUUAAACAUCAAUGAAAUACCACUCUUAAAAAUUUUUGUUACUCAUGAUUUCAAAACAGUUCAUAAUGGGUAGUUUGACUGGGGCGGUCGCCUCCUAAAGAGUAACGGAGGCGUACGAAGGUAAGCUCAAAUUGAAAAAACUCAAUUGAAGAGCAUAAUAGUAUAUUGCUUGCUUGACUGAAAGAUUGACAAAUCGAACAGGGACGAAAGUCGGUUAUAGUGAUCCGGUGAUUCUGAGUGGAAAAGAUCAUCGCUCAACGGAUAAAAGGUACGCCAGGGAUAACAGGCUAAUCAAUCUUUAGAGACCCUAUCGAUGGAUUGGUUUGGCACCUCGAUGUUGGAUUAUCGCAUCCUGGAGCUGUAAGUGGUUCCAAGGGUUUGGCUGUUCGCCAAGAAAGGCGGUACAUGAUCUGAGUUUAGAACGUUGUAAAACAGUUUGGUCCCUAUCUACCGUAAGUGUUAAAAAUUGAAAGGAGUAAACCCUAGUACGAGAGGACCGGGAAAAGUGAAUCUCUGGUAAAUCGAUUGUUAUAGUAAUAGCAUUGUCGAGUAGCUAUAUUCAUAAUAGAUAAUUGUUGAAAGCAUUUAAACAAGAAACUAACCUUGAAAAUAAUUUUUAAAAAGCCGUAAUAGAUUAUUACGUAAUAGGCUUAAUGUGUACGAAUUGUAAAAUUUUUAGCUAAUAAGUACUAAAAUCUAAAUUGUGUAAG
Molecule: ribosomal RNA, 1290 nt
Filed under: marine metagenome
Description: bacterial LSU rRNA
Rfam family: Bacterial large subunit ribosomal RNA
Source: RNAcentral